RNA transcript from Brachypodium distachyon (stiff brome), 3806 nucleotides. It is a transcript of the gene named U-box domain-containing protein 13-like, with no coding region annotated. Lineage: Eukaryota; Viridiplantae; Streptophyta; Magnoliopsida; Poales; Poaceae. The transcript is spliced from 9 exons. The record is from RefSeq and is a predicted model, not a curated record.
CGAUGGACAGAUCGCUGGGAGGCCACAAGUUCGUCGGCUUUAGCUUUCGGACUUGCUACUUGCUAACCGUCGGAGUUGACCGAAGGGAUACAGGGGCAUUCCGGGGAGAGCUCGCGAUUUAGUUGGAAUUCUGAAGCAAUCUGAAGUGCAAAUUUCUCGAGUGGCGAACCAGCGCGUGCUCCGUGAGGCCAAAGAUUGACGCGGCCUUAGGUUUGGGAGUUUAUUACGGAGUAAUUCGGAAGAAAACACGACUUCUCCACGCCCAACUGUAUCGUCCCGGGCCUAAUCUCUCCUCCAAUCAAGCUCGAUGCGGCCACUUUUCCGCAUCCAGGAGAAUCCUGGAUCCUCUUGAGCUCAAGCACGAAGGCCUUCAGCUCACCAGGAAUUAAACCUCACCCAGAUGCAUCCUCCGAUCUAUAGUCAUGCUACCUCUCCGACUUAGACACUGAAGCCAAUUAAAGGAAUGUACAUGUAGUUGAAAUCUCACGGAAAGUUUCUGCUGGAAAUGGCUAUGAGAAAUGAUAUAUGGGAGAAGAAGCUACAGGAUCCAAGUGCGAUACCAAUGUUUCUGCCAUUAGAAUUUUUGAAAGCCAUCACUGGUGAUUUUUCCACAGAGCAAGAACUCGGAAGAGGUGGGUAUGGAGUGGUUUACAAGGGCAUUCUUCGGAGUGGGAAAAGUAUUGCUGUGAAGAAACUUUUUGACUUACAUGUGCUGGAAGAUAAUAAAUUCCAGAGAGAGGUCAGUUAUCUUAUGGGGAUCAAGCACCGAAACGUAGUGCAAUUUGUUGGUUACUGUGCCGAAUCAAGUUGGGAAGCCAUAAAACUGGAAGGAAGUGGGAAUUAUAUUUUCGCUGAAAUACCAAAAAGAUUGCUCUGCUUUGAGCAUGUACCUAAUAAAAGCCUUGACAAGUAUAUCUCUGAUGAGUCAUCAGGCCUUGACUGGAACAUGAGAUACAAAAUAAUUAGGGGGAUUUGUGGUGGUUUGCAUUACCUUCAUGAGGAAUGUCAUAUUGUUCAUUUGGACCUGAAACCUGAAAAUAUAUUGAUGGAUGCUACUAUGGUGCCAAAAAUAGCGGAUUUUGGUUUGUCGAGGAUUUUUGGUGACAAGCAAUCCCAAAUCAUCACUGAAAAUUGUGUGGGGUCACGUGGAUAUAUGGCACCAGAAUACUUGAUCCAAGGCAUAGUUUCCAUCAAGGCAGAUAUAUUCAGUUUCGGUGUUAUUAUCAUAGAGAUACUCACAGGUUGUAGAGACUAUCCCCUGAGUGUUGUUCCAGACUCCCAGGACUUCAUUGAGAAAGAUAGUCCCAAGAGUACCAACACAUCUUUCCAGCACUUCAAAGCGAAAAUACUUGAUAUUUGGAGGAAUAGAUUGCAGAUAUCAUUGGGGGACACACUGUUGGAACAAAUACGAAUAUGCGCUGAGAUAGGGAUACAGUGCAUUCAAUUUAAACCAGGUAAGAGACCAGUUACACAGCAUAUAAUCGACAUGCUUGAUGAAGUGAAUAUUAUCAACGGGUCCAUCAAACCUGACAUGAGUACUCCGGCAGCAGUGCAGGUUCUUGAGAAUGAGAAAAUAAUGAAGAUUUCCCAGGACAUUGCUUUAAGGAUUGAACAAGUCUUAGAUGGCAUCUCGUUUGAUGAGCCUGGUAUAUCAGACAAAGUACGGGAACAGAUUGAACUGAUACAUAUUCAAUUGAAAAGAGCUAAAGAGCUAUCGGAUUCAUCUGAUGGCGAUCUCUUCAAUGGUCUGAUGUCUGUCUACAAUUCAAGCACCAAUGCUACCGGUUCUGAUCAAGAUAUUCAUCGAGGACUAUCUGAGAAGUUGCAGCUUGUCACCAUAUCUGACCUCAGUGAAGAAUCAUUGGCCUUGCAUGAGAUGUCUAUUCGGGCGGAUCCUGCAGCUGUAGUUGAGAAGAUGUCAAUGCUACUGAAAAAGAUUAAGGACUUUGCUCAGGCUCUAGUCCCAGCAAGUUUAACAGGCACUUCCUCGAAAGAUAACUCGACUUCUGCUGUUAUCCCGGAUGCUUUUCGUUGCCCGAUAUCACUUUGCUUAAUGGAAGACCCGGUUAUGGUCUCCACUGGGCAGACUUAUGAGCGAGCCAGCAUUGCUAAAUGGUUUAAAGCUGGGAACGACACCUGUCCGACGACACAGCAGAAGCUUGUCAACAAAUCACUGACUCCAAAUUAUGCCCUCCAUGGCCUGAUCGUCCAGUGGUGUGAAUUAUACUGUCUGGAGCUGGAGCCACCGAAACGACCUGUUGAAGUCAGUAGUAUUAUUGAGCAUAAUAGAGUUACCGAGCUUCUGCAGAAACUAUCAUCCCAAAAUCUUCUGGACCAACGUGGAGCUGCAGGUACGCUUCGCCAGUUUGCAAGGCGUAACACUGAAAGCUGUGCUCGUAUAGGAGAUUCUGGCGGCAUUCCUGUCCUCAUGGGCCUGUUAUCGACGACUGAUGUUAGCACUCAGGAGCACGUUGUUACUGCUCUCCUGAAUGUCUCUAUUCACGAUGAGAACAAGAUGAGAAUUGUUUCCUCCGGAGCUAUUCCUGGACUUGUAGAAGUACUAGAGAGGUAGCAUGGUGGCUCGGGAAAAUGCAGCCGCCACGCUGUUCAGCCUAUCAGUUGUGGACGAGUGCAAGGUGAUAAUUGGGGCUUCUGGGUCGAUUCCACCUCUGGUACUGAUGUUGAGUACUGGGAGUAAACGAGGUAAAAAGGAUGCAACAGCAGCAUUAUUUAAUCUGUGUAUCUAUCAGGGCAACAAGGGUAAAGCUGUUACAGCUGGGUUGGUUCCUGUACUGCUAGAAUUAUUGAAGGGAGCUCAAGAUGGAAUACCGGAUGAAGCCAUUGCUCUAUUGUCAAUUCUCUCAAUUAAUCCAGAGGAGAAGGCAGCUAUUAUUGCUGGCGAUGCCAUACCAAGCCUGUGUGAAGUCAUAAGAAAUGAAUCCCCAAGGAACAAGGAAAAUGCAGCUAAUAUUCUGGUGCACCUUUGUAGUGGCGAGCAGCACCAACAUCUUGCUGAAGCACAGCAGCAGGGCGUCGUGCCCUCGCUGGUGGAGCUAGCAAGAAGUGGCACAGACAGAGCGAAAAGGAAAGCGAUCCAGCUUCUUGAAUGGAAUAAAGAAAACAAUGGAGUGACAUGAGUGAGGCUAAAUGGGGAGGAUGUGCUUUCUGGGUGAACAGUAAAUUGACAGGAAAUAUUUAAACGUUUUUGAACAUAUAUAAUGAUCAUUCUUCUGCAUGUUUGUAAAUUUUUGUUGAACAAAAAUCAUUCUUUCAUCUUCGCUGGUACCCUUGACGAGAUGAACCUCCCACACACAUGUCUUCAAUGGGCCGGCAUCCCCCUGGCCAGCAUCUGGGGGCAGGAAAACAAUGCUCUAGGAAGGAUCGACCUCCCGGUGAUGUUUGGUGAGGGAGACUGCACGGAACACAUCCACUUCAACGUGGUGAACAUCAUGUAUCAAUACAACAUCAUUCUUGGCCGGGUGUACCUCAACAAGUUAAACAGUACUUCCGUCGAUUUCAAGUUCUCAGCAUUUUGGAUGGGAAACUCAAACAACUACUCAAAUUAUAUGAGGUUUGUCCAGCUUUGUGCAAAGACUGGGGUCUCUAGUCUUUUGUAGUUCCCUUGCGGGAGAUAUGGAUGAACAUCAUGGUGCCAACACCAGAGCUAGCAAUUUUAACUUCGAGUAACCUUUAUACAAUGGAAGUUUGUUGUUGAUUUUAUUUUAUCUACUCUUUUCUGUUUACUAAAUUGAUAGUCAGAUCAUUGUUAUUUCUUUUUAAAAAAAUAGCAUUUCCUACUGGGCUCA